GGGGGUGUAGCUCAGUUGGUUAGAGCGCCUGCCUGUCACGCAGGAGGUCGCGAGUUCAAGUCUCGUCACUCCCGCCA
This 77-nucleotide transfer RNA is filed under the name Fusobacterium animalis. It matches the Rfam family "tRNA". From Rfam's summary of the family: Transfer RNA (tRNA) molecules are approximately 80 nucleotides in length. Their secondary structure includes four short double-helical elements and three loops (D, anti-codon, and T loops). RNAcentral also lists the same sequence under 1 other name. Lineage: Bacteria; Fusobacteriati; Fusobacteriota; Fusobacteriia; Fusobacteriales; Fusobacteriaceae. The record is from RNAcentral.